UGAGGAAUAUUGGUCAAUGGGCGAGAGCCUGAACCAGCCAAGUAGCGUGCAGGAUGACGGCCCUAUGGGUUGUAAACUGCUUUUAUGUGGGGAUAAAGUGCGUGACGUGUCUUGCAUUGCAGGUACCACAUGAAUAAGGACCGGCUAAUUCCGUGCCAGCAGCCGCGGUAAUACGGAAGGUCCGGGCGUUAUCCGGAUUUAUUGGGUUUAAAGGGAGCGUAGGCUGUCUAUUAAGCGUGUUGUGAAAUUUACCGGCUCAACCGGUGGCUUGCAGCGCGAACUGGUCGACUUGAGUAUGCAGGAAGUAGGCGGAAUUCAUGGUGUAGCGGUGAAAUGCUUAGAUAUCAUGACGAACUCCGAUUGCGCAGGCAGCUUACUGUAGCAUAACUGACGCUGAUGCUCGAAAGUGCGGGUAUCAAACAGG
Molecule: ribosomal RNA, 424 nt
Filed under: Fusobacteriota bacterium
Lineage: Bacteria; Fusobacteriati; Fusobacteriota
Description: Fusobacteria bacterium partial 16S ribosomal RNA
Rfam family: Bacterial small subunit ribosomal RNA
Source: RNAcentral